RNAcentral lists this ribosomal RNA (441 nucleotides) under uncultured bacterium. Its description in RNAcentral is "partial 16S ribosomal RNA". It matches the Rfam family "Bacterial small subunit ribosomal RNA", at positions 338 to 795 of the family's 1533-position model. The record is from RNAcentral.
CCUACGGGAGGCAGCAGUGGGGAAUAUUGCACAAUGGGGGAAACCCUGAUGCAGCAACGCCGCGUGAAGGAAGAAGGAUUUCGGAUUGUAAACUUCUGUUCUUAGUGAAGAAUAAGGAGGGUAGCUAAGGAGCAAGCCACGCCUAACUACGGGCCAGCAGCCGCGGUAAGACGUAGGGGGCAAGCGUUGUCCGGUAUUACUGGGUGUAAAGGGAGCGCAGGCGGGAAGCCAAGUCAGCUGUGAAAACUACGGGCUUAACUUGUAGACUGCAGUUGAAACUGGUUUUCUUGAGUGAAGUAGAGGUUGGCGGAAUUCCGGGUGUAGCGGGGAAAUGCGUAGAUAUUCGGAGGAACACCGGUGGCGAAGGCGGCCAACUGGGCUUUAACUGACGUUGAGGCUCGAAAGUGUGGGGAGCAAACAGGAUUAGAUACCCGUGUAGUC